UAGUCGUGGUGAAGAUGCCACGUACCCGCGGUAAGACGGAAAGACCCCAUGAACCUUUACUGCAGGCUGAUAUUGGUACUAGACACGUUUUGUGUAGGAUAGGUGGGAGACUUUGAAGCGUGGUCGCUAGAUUGCGUGGAGUCGUCCUUGAAAUACCACCCUGGUAACGUUGAGGUUCUAACUCUGGUCCGUAAUCCGGGUCGAGGACAGUGUAUGGUGGGUAGUUUG
This 228-nucleotide ribosomal RNA is filed under the name Symbiodinium sp. clade D. RNAcentral's name for it is "partial Bacterial large subunit ribosomal RNA". It matches the Rfam family "Bacterial large subunit ribosomal RNA", at positions 2045 to 2272 of the family's 2925-position model. The record is from RNAcentral. Lineage: Eukaryota; Dinophyceae; Suessiales; Symbiodiniaceae.